This 443-nucleotide ribosomal RNA is filed under the name uncultured bacterium. RNAcentral's name for it is "partial 16S ribosomal RNA". It matches the Rfam family "Bacterial small subunit ribosomal RNA", at positions 338 to 795 of the family's 1533-position model. The record is from RNAcentral.
CCUACGGGUGGCAGCAGUGGGGAAUAUUGGGCAAUGGAGGCAACUCUGACCCAGCAACGCCGCGUGAAUGAUGAAGGUCUUCGGAUUGUAAAGUUCUGUGAUGGGGGAUGAACACAAUGACGGUACCCCAAUAGCAAGCCACGGCUAACUACGUGCCAGCAGCCGCGGUAAUACGUAGGUGGCAAGCGUUAUCCGGAAUGACUGGGCGUAAAGGGUGCGUAGGUGGUUUAGUAAGUUGGCGGUGUAAUUCCGGGGCUCAACCUCGGCGCUACCGCCAAACCUAUUAGACUAGAGUGCAGGAGGGGCAGGCGGAAUUCCUGGUGUAGCGGUGAAAUGCGUAGAUAUCAGGAGGAACACCGGCGGCGAAGGCGGCCUGCUGGACUGAAACUGACGUUGAGGCUCGAAAGCGUGGGGAGCAAACAGGAUUAGAUACCCUAGUAGUC